This 2249-nucleotide long non-coding RNA is filed under the name Mytilus galloprovincialis (Mediterranean mussel). Lineage: Eukaryota; Metazoa; Mollusca; Bivalvia; Mytilida; Mytilidae. The record is from RNAcentral.
UGUAAUAUUGUAAGAAAAUCUAUGCAUGAAUAUAUUCUUCAUUAAAAAGUCAUUUAUUCUCUAUUGAUCUUGUACAUGUGUUCACUGUAUUGUGCUCUAGGGGCGAUAACUCUAAUUGAUUUUUCGAUUGAUUCGCUCUGGUUGAGUGUACUUGGAUAACAAUGACAGACGCUUUGACGAAUUAGUCACCUUUUGAUAAAUGUAGUUUUAAAAGUGUAAACAAAGAUGACAAAUUAUUAAUAUCGUUUAAAUGGAUAGGUAAAGUUAUACAGGUCGGUUACUCAGAUCUUAAGGACGGAGCGUGAAUGUUUACGAAUAAUAAGAUGUUUUCAAAAAGUUGACACUGAAGGAGAAAAAAUAUUUACACCUGGAUUUAAUAUUUGUUUCAACAACGUUGGACAGAGAACAAAGGAAAAAAGGAAAAGGAAAAUAGAAAGAGAAAGUGAAGUACAUCACGGAAAAAGGAAUAAACAUAUGUUUCAUAUAUAAUCUUUAAAUGAGGAUUGGAAUAUUUACUGUACCUAUUGACCAGGAUUUUUACAAAGUGGAAUAGUUAGUCAGUACCACAAAGAGAAAGCUUUUUACAGACCUUGGACAAAAAGGAUUACAAAUAUUUAUCUUAUAAACAGCUUGUUGGAAAUACUGGUAAUAUGCACUUAAAGAUUUGCUAAAAUAUUCUUAUAUUAAAAUUUGAAAUGGCUAUUUAAAUUCUCUACUUGAAAUUUAACUUAUAUUAAAAUGAACAAUUUAAAAUCUUCUAACAGUUAAUAUGUAUAGAAUGUAAACAAAUUUGUUUCUAAUGUAUUUACACCUGUAGAACCUAAUAUUUUUCAUAAUAACAAUAACUUAAGUGUCAUAGUUUAAUUUGAAAUAUAUAUCACUUGUCAUUUUUUUUAAAUCAAAGAAAUAGAGAGAAAAAAACAUACAUAAUUGCAAUUUAGUUUUAUUGGAUUAGAUGAUAAAAGUUAUGAUUUGACAUGAGUGAACUUUUGAUCUAUUGGUCAUGGAAAUUGAUUGACACUUUUUGUUUAUAAUAGUUUUUGAUAACUUAUCAGAUUUUUAGAAUAUUAAUAAAUUUUAAUGAUAGCAAAACUGAUUUUAUAGUUUUAAAUGUAUUGAAGAUAGAAGGUAAUAGCAUUCGCUUACUAUUUUUGUUUUUCAUAAAUUCCACAGAUACUGAAUUUCUUUAAAUAUUUUGAGAGGGUAUUAACACAUUUUCAAUUUUAAUCUUAAGUUUUACUUUUGUAGUAACUGUCCAAUGUCCUAUUCAAGUAUUUAAUUACAGAGAAGAAUUUAAAUUUGUAUAUUGAAAUUUCACAGAUUAAAAUUUUACAAUCAUGAUAGAUAGUAAAGUUAUGUAAUGUAGAUAUUUCAAGUUAUUCAUGAUUUGUUAAGCAAUGAGUUACAUUUAUAAUUAUUUUUGUAAGUCAUUUAAAAGAAUGAGUUUUUUCUAAAGAGGAAGGGCUUCAAAUAAACAAGUGUAACGGAGUGAAGAGCUAUCAAAAGAUUAAAUAUAAUUUACAUUUUAUUUAUCAGUUGAAAUUUGAAUAACAUACUUGUAAGGAAAGAUAAUCUCACCGCUUGAAUCACCUUGAUAAUCUAAAACAGGUUAUAAUAAUUUUUUGGUGGGUUUUUCUAAUCUAGGUUUAAAUAGAAUUUCAAAGUAAAAACAUAUGACUAAAUAGGGUUAAACUAACUUUGAGUACAACUUAAAACAGUGGGAAUUCAUUUGUCAUAAAGUCUGCAAUUUUGUGUGAAAAGCUGAAAUUCAUUGUUAUUUGAACCAUGGAUAAUUUAUGGCUUAGAAAAUUCAAAAGAUUAGGAUUUUAUUGUGGUCAUGUUAGGACAGUAAACCAUUCUUGGUCUAUAAUUAUCAAGUCAGAAUAAAUAAUUAGUUGUUUAGGACCAUAAUAUAGUGAUUUUAAGGUUAAGGAAAAUAUAGGGUUUUGCUUGUUCCUGUGGAGCACUUAAAAACCUAUUAGUAUUUUAAUUGUUCUCUUGUUUUGGUUGAAUAGAGGCUGACCACAAGACUUAAUCACUGGAGAAAAAUAUAACCACACAUAGUCACAGUGCAUUUAGGCAGAACAGAAACCAGCUUCACUCUCUAAUGGACUUUUUCAAUUUCACUGAGGAUUAAAAAUAGAUUUAUAUCUGGACCAGAGAUAGAUAAUCUGACAAUUGUAAACAAGGAUUGUUUAUAUAGACAAAAUGUUUUGAAGUUGAACAUUCAGGAUAUCAGGAUUAAUAAU